Non-coding RNA from Xyrichtys novacula (pearly razorfish), 2389 nucleotides. NCBI's taxonomy places the organism in Eukaryota, Metazoa, Chordata, Actinopteri, Labriformes, Labridae. The record is from the annotation of a GenBank genome assembly.
UCGCUCUUUUUUGUCCAUCGUCAAGUCCGAUCGGGUUUGCCAGCGGAGAAGAGGAUUACAUUUUUCCAUCGUUUUUCUCUUUUAUUGCAUUGGAAAAAUGAGUUGUUCUGCAGUAAACUGUGUUAACCGACAUGUGAAAUCGGGAUCUUUGCAGUUGUUUCGGUAAGUUAUGUUUUUUUAUGAAGUCAUCAGCUUGCUAGCUACAUAACAUUAAACGGUCUGGUUUAAUUUAGCUAAUGGGGUUUACUUACAGAUACCAAGCGGUAAGUUCUGUGCCUUAUUUAAGCGUUUUUAUUAGAAGUUAAACAAUGAGGAAACCCCUUAAAAUCCGCCUUCUUUUUAUAACAAUAUUAUGACUACGUGACUUUGAAUUUGAAUUAAAAACCGUACCGAUCACACAGAUUCAUACUAGCAACCAAAUACUACCACAGAGUAUCAGGGCAUGAAAUGAAAACUCGAGGCAUGAAGUCAUUAUGUUAAAGGAAUUAAUUCGCAUUUAAGUCAUUCCCCUAAUAUUGCAUCACUUUAUGAGAACAAGGCCAUGUAAAUGAGUCGAAGUUUUGGUAAUGGAUCAACCAGUUUUACUCGGGUAUGUUACAACGAGAGCAGCCUGCGCUAAAGUCAGGUAUGGUUUAAUUAAAAUGCAUCUUUCGGAUGCACCGUCCUAGCUUUCUGGCUGAGGAUUGACCGCCGGUUCAGUCUCCUCCGUACAGCGGCAGUAGUAUUACAGCUUCUGGUGACAUAACGAUAUUUGUCUAAGAUUAAGCUCUGAAACUGUCUUUAAUGGGACAAAACGUCGAGAAAACGAGACCCUAUAAGUGUAUAGAAGGACAUGCUCAAAAGAUUACUUAUACAAGUUGCAUAACUGUUAUUUAUUUUAUGUUAUCAAAUAACAUACAUAAGUCAUAAGUAUACUUCUGUGUAAUGACAAUUAUCAUUUACAGCAGCAUGGUAGAUCAUGUCUUAUUUAAGUUUUCAAGAUAGAUAGAUAGAUAGAUAGAUAGCCCUGUUACUUAUGAGAUUGAGAUAAAACUAUGAGUAAUGUAACUAGUUAUGGAAAGACAGCUGCAUAUGACAUACUUAAUCAAUCACAAUGAUAUUAAAAUUUUUAUUACAUGCAAAGAAAUCCCUCAAUUGUGAUAGGAUGUUCAUAAGACAUAUCACUCACAAGAUGAAAUGAUUUAGAUUAUUUAUACAGUUUGAAUAUUCAUUCACUUGAGGUAUUUUUUGUGAUUGUCUUUGAAUUGAGUUUUGGCUUCAGCCUGUUAUGCAACAAAGCAAGAAUUAAACUGAACGCAAAACAUUAACUUUGUGUUGUUUACAAACUUGACAAAUGGCAGUAAGCAAUGUUAUUGUAUUUCUGUAAAGUUUCCCUUUAGGUGACAAAGCGAGGCUGAAGCAGUGGCUGGUGAACACAAAACGGCAGGACUGGAAACCAACAGGAUCAUCACGUCUUUGCAGUGCUCAUUUUGAAGAGCAUGCCUUUACUGUGGACUCAAAGGUUAAAUUAUUUCUUUUUUAAUGGACAGCAAUUUUUAUUAAGUUCACAUUUGCAACAAUUUAUUGUUAAAUUGACUAACACUUUGAAUCAUAAAAUGGCGGUUAUUUAAACAUUCCCAAGAGCUGAACACUACAACUAUUGUGUUUCCAUUUUAAAUUACUGCUGUUUUUAUGUUUUCUGAAUUUAGGUAUUUGCAUGUAGUUGUAGUGUCUGCUACCAUCUACUGGUCAUUAUUAGUUAGUGUCAUCAGUCAUUUUCAGUUUAAGUUGGCGCAGCCUGGAGUAAAAAAAACAGGAAUCAUGUUGCAAAAAAAAAUUUGAGUGAUACCACAUGAACAACUUCUUAUGCUUAGACCAAAUGUGCCCUGUUAGAUAAAGGUAACAACACUAGCCAAGUAGUAGUCUCUAAGAAUGCUAACUAAAUGAAACCUUUUAAAUAAUUGGACAAGUAUAUCAAAACCUCUAAAGUUUUCAUGCUGAGCUACCACCUGGUUUGAGACAUAAGUGUCUUAAUGAAUGUAAGUGCUGGUAUUCACAAUUUAAUUGAUGAAUUUCUUUGUGUUUUUCAGACUUCAUCACCAAUCACUGAUGAUAUGGUGGAUUCAUCUGCUGCAGCCUGUUUCCUUUCCACCCAAUGCAACUCCCAAAGUACUAGAUUAUAUCUUUUUAAGUUCCUGGUAAAAUAACAAACAUACAGGUUUUCUGCAAAGGAGUUAAUUAUUUAUAAAUCACAAAUAAAUACUAAAAUGCUAGUGUCCUCUCACAAGUGUCCAUGUCAUGCUAUCUGAUUUACAUUAAUUACAUGCUGUUCACUACACAUAUCGUCAGUUUGUUUUUUCAGUUUUACCACACUUUGUCCACUUCAUGGUGAGGACUCGCACACAGAAAG